UACGGAGGGUGCUAGCGUUGUUCGGAAUUACUGGGCGUAAAGGGCGCGUAGGCGGCCGUUUGCGUCGGAUGUGAAAGCCCGGGGCUCAACCUCGGAACGGCAUUCGAUACGGGACGGCUGGAGACCGGGAGAGGAGAGUGGAAUAGCCAGUGUAGAGGUGAAAUUCGUAGAUAUUGGCUGGAGCACCGGUGGCGAAAGCGGCUCUCUGGCCCGGUUCUGACGCUGAGGCGCGAAAGCGUGGGGAGCAAACAGG
Molecule: ribosomal RNA, 253 nt
Filed under: uncultured bacterium
Lineage: Bacteria
Description: partial 16S ribosomal RNA
Rfam family: Bacterial small subunit ribosomal RNA
Source: RNAcentral